CCUACGGGAGGCUGCAGUGGGGAAUAUUGCACAAUGGGCGCAAGCCUGAUGCAGCCAUGCCGCGUGUGUGAAGAAGGCCUUCGGGUUGUAAAGCACUUUCAGCGGGGAGGAAGGCGGUGAGGUUAAUAAUCUCAUCGAUUGACGUUACCCGCAGAAGAAGCACCGGCUAACUCCGUGCCAGCAGCCGCGGUAAUACGGAGGGUGCAAGCGUUAAUCGGAAUUACUGGGCGUAAAGCGCACGCAGGCGGUCUGUCAAGUCGGAUGUGAAAUCCCCGGGCUCAACCUGGGAACUGCAUUCGAAACUGGCAGGCUAGAGUCUUGUAGAGGGGGGUAGAAUUCCAGGUGUAGCGGUGAAAUGCGUAGAGAUCUGGAGGAAUACCGGUGGCGAAGGCGGCCCCCUGGACAAAGACUGACGCUCAGGUGCGAAAGCGUGGGGAGCAAACAGGAUUAGAUACCCUAGUAGUC
Molecule: ribosomal RNA, 465 nt
Filed under: uncultured Klebsiella sp.
Lineage: Bacteria; Pseudomonadati; Pseudomonadota; Gammaproteobacteria; Enterobacterales; Enterobacteriaceae
Description: bacterial SSU rRNA
Rfam family: Bacterial small subunit ribosomal RNA
Source: RNAcentral